Non-coding RNA from Pelobates cultripes (western spadefoot toad), 201 nucleotides. Lineage: Eukaryota; Metazoa; Chordata; Amphibia; Anura; Pelobatidae. The record is from the annotation of a GenBank genome assembly.
UCUUUCCUCCAAGCUAUACAUGUUAAGUUCCUUUAACCUUUCCUUGUAAGUUUUAUCCUGCAAUCCAUGAACCAGUCUAGUAGCCCUUCUCUGAACUCUCUCUAAAGUAUCAAUAUCCUUCUGAAGAUACGGUCUCCAGUACUGCGUACAAUACUCCAAGUGAGGUCUCACCAGUAUUCUGUACAAUGGCAUAAGCACUUC